GAUGAACGCUGGCGGCGUGCCUAAUACAUGCAAGUCGAGCGAACAGACGAGGAGCUUGCUCCUCUGACGUUAGCGGCGGACGGGUGAGUAACACGUGGAGAACCUACCUAUAAGACUGGGAUAACUUCGGGAAACCGGAGCUAAUACCGGAUAAUAUAUUGAACCGCAUGGUUCAAUAGUGAAAGACGGUUUUGCUGUCACUUAUAGAUGGAUCCGCGCCGCAUUAGCUAGUUGGUAAGGUAACGGCUUACCAAGGCGACGAUGCGUAGCCGACCUGAGAGGGUGAUCGGCCACACUGGAACUGAGACACGGUCCAGACUCCUACGGGAGGCAGCAGUAGGGAAUCUUCCGCAAUGGGCGAAAGCCUGACGGAGCAACGCCGCGUGAGUGAUGAAGGUCUUCGGAUCGUAAAACUCUGUUAUUAGGGAAGAACAAAUGUGUAAGUAACUAUGCACGUCUUGACGGUACCUAAUCAGAAAGCCACGGCUAACUACGUG
RNAcentral lists this ribosomal RNA (497 nucleotides) under uncultured bacterium. Its description in RNAcentral is "partial 16S ribosomal RNA". It matches the Rfam family "Bacterial small subunit ribosomal RNA", at positions 28 to 507 of the family's 1533-position model. The record is from RNAcentral.